This 748-nucleotide ribosomal RNA is filed under the name Bacillus subtilis. Its description in RNAcentral is "bacterial SSU rRNA". It matches the Rfam family "Bacterial small subunit ribosomal RNA", at positions 51 to 781 of the family's 1533-position model. The record is from RNAcentral. Lineage: Bacteria; Bacillati; Bacillota; Bacilli; Caryophanales; Bacillaceae.
AUACAUGCAAGUCGAGCGGACAGAUGGGAGCUUGCUCCCUGAUGUUAGCGGCGGACGGGUGAGUAACACGUGGGUAACCUGCCUGUAAGACUGGGAUAACUCCGGGAAACCGGGGCUAAUACCGGAUGGUUGUUUGAACCGCAUGGUUCAGACAUAAAAGGUGGCUUCGGCUACCACUUACAGAUGGACCCGCGGCGCAUUAGCUAGUUGGUGAGGUAACGGCUCACCAAGGCAACGAUGCGUAGCCGACCUGAGAGGGUGAUCGGCCACACUGGGACUGAGACACGGCCCAGACUCCUACGGGAGGCAGCAGUAGGGAAUCUUCCGCAAUGGACGAAAGUCUGACGGAGCAACGCCGCGUGAGUGAUGAAGGUUUUCGGAUCGUAAAGCUCUGUUGUUAGGGAAGAACAAGUGCCGUUCAAAUAGGGCGGCACCUUGACGGUACCUAACCAGAAAGCCACGGCUAACUACGUGCCAGCAGCCGCGGUAAUACGUAGGUGGCAAGCGUUGUCCGGAAUUAUUGGGCGUAAAGGGCUCGCAGGCGGUUUCUUAAGUCUGAUGUGAAAGCCCCCGGCUCAACCGGGGAGGGUCAUUGGAAACUGGGGAACUUGAGUGCAGAAGAGGAGAGUGGAAUUCCACGUGUAGCGGUGAAAUGCGUAGAGAUGUGGAGGAACACCAGUGGCGAAGGCGACUCUCUGGUCUGUAACUGACGCUGAGGAGCGAAAGCGUGGGGAGCGAACAGGAUUAG